Molecule: ribosomal RNA, 253 nt
Filed under: uncultured bacterium
Lineage: Bacteria
Description: partial 16S ribosomal RNA
Rfam family: Bacterial small subunit ribosomal RNA
Source: RNAcentral
UACGGAGGGUGCUAGCGUUGUUCGGAAUUACUGGGCGUAAAGGGCGCGUAGGCGGCCGUUUGCGUCGGAUGUGAAAGCCCGGGGCUCAACCUCGGAACGGCAUUCGAUACGGGACGGCUGGAGACCGGGAGAGGAGAGUGGAAUUCCCAGUGUAGAGGUGAAAUUCGUAGAUAUUGGGAAGAACACCGAUGGCGAAGGCAGCCAUCUGGACCGACACUGACGCUGAGGCGCGAAAGCGUGGGGAGCAAACAGG